This 218-nucleotide non-coding RNA is filed under the name Arenimonas composti. RNAcentral also lists the same sequence under 1 other name. Lineage: Bacteria; Pseudomonadati; Pseudomonadota; Gammaproteobacteria; Lysobacterales; Lysobacteraceae. The record is from RNAcentral.
CACUAUCUUGGGGCCGUCGGUCCCGGGCGCCACAACCGCUUGGGUUAAUAGGGAAGCCGGUGCGAUUCCGGCGCUGCCCCGCAGCGGUAUGUGGAAACGAACGCCGUCACACGCACUGGGAGCGCGCUCCCGGGAAGCGACGGCCAGUAGGCGGAAUGGGAACGCAUGUUCCCACCAUGUCCACGAGCCCGAAGACCUGCCGACAGCCGCGCGGUUCC